GAAACAUCUGAAAUUAAUGGAGCAUUCCCUUCCUUUCAGUUUAUGUACCUUUGGAUGAAUCACUUAUUGCUAAAAUGAGGCAGGGCUCAGAGUGUGGAAAUCUCAUUUACAUAAAUAAGUUAACAAAAUAGAAAAAGUCUAAUUAUAACGAUGUCACUCAUUUCUGUAAACAUCAGCUGUAUUGGAUCAGCCAAAAACACAUUAUAAUACAUAAUAAUUUUAUUUUAAUUUUCUAUGUGUUGGAUAUCUUCUAUUUAUCAUUCUAGAUCUAUACCAUCCUCUUCUACGUUACUUCUUCCCUGGAGGCUGACCUGUAUGGACUAUAUCAGCAUGCUUGCCUUCUUGCGUCCAGCUGGAUUUUACCAAUGAGUACCUCUUGGCAGGAGAUUAGAGGAAGAGAAGAGAUGGCUAUUUAUUCUCCCAGCUCCUUCCCUGAAAAAUUACAUCCCCUUUCAAGCAUCCGACAGAUGCCAGCAUUCCUUGGCUUGUGACUGCAUACGCCUCAAUCUUCACAUGGUUUUUCUUCCGCCUGUGUGGCUCUCCUUUGUGUGUCCCUUAUAGGAACACUUGUCAUUGGAUGAGUGUCCCCCUAGAUAAGACAGGUUGAUAUCCUCAUCUCAAGAUCUUUAACUUAGCUACAUCUGCAAAGACCCCUUUUCCAAGUAAGGUAACAUUCACAGGUUCUGGGAAUUAGGACAUAAGCAUUUAUUUGGGGGCCACUAUUCAACCCACUGUAAGGACCAAGAGUUUUUUGCAUAUCAUAUUUGCUUGUGGCUUCUCUAAUCAAGAGAUGAGGGUAAACUGUAUCUGGUCUGACCUUGGGACUUGUUUUGACCAGUAGAAUACAGCAGACAUGACAUUCUAGGACUUUUGGGUCCAGGCCUGCAAUGGUCACAUAGCCUCUGCUUUUGAUCAGAGGGAAAAACAGCUGCUAUGUGAGGAAGUUCACUUAUUGUCCUUGAGAGAGUGGCCAUAUGGAGAGAAAAAACCUCUGAUGCAUGAGACACUAUGGAAGGAUGUAGAAAGAAGCCCAGCCAGCCCCUGAACUACAGGUAAAAACUGGAAGAACAAUGGGACUAUUUAUGGAAGUUAGAAGACCAGUAAGCAAAUUACUAUUGGAGGCUGGAGAAGAAUGCCCAAUAUUAAGUAGUGAGGAAACAUUUGAAAAAACUAUUAUGUGCAGAAAUAUAAAGAUAGAAAAUAUACCUAAGGAUUUUGUGGAUCUGGCUAAGCAGGUUUCCAGGCAAUUUUUUUUUUUUUUUUUUUUUUUUUGAGACAGAGUCUCGCUGUGUCGCCCAGGCCGGAGUGCAGAGGCGCGAUCUCAGCUCACUGCAACCUCCACCUCCCGGGUUCACGUCAUUCUCCUGCCUCAGCCUCUCUAGUAGCUGGGACUACAGGUGCCUGCCACCACGCCUGGCUAAUUUUUUUGUAUUUUUAGUAGAGAUGUGGUUUCACCGUGUUAGCCAGGAUGGUCUCAAUCUCCUGACCUCGUGAUCCACCCGCCUCGGCCUCCCAAAGUGCUGGGAUUACAGGCAUGAGCCACCGCGCCUGGCCUCCAGGCAAAAUUUUGCAUGUGCAACUGGCUUCUGAUGUGGUUUGUCUGUGUCCCCACCCAAGAUGUCCCCUCAUCUUGAAUUGUAACUCCCACAAUUCCCACGUGUUGUGGGAGGAACCUGGUGGGAGGUAGUUGAAUUAUGGGGCAGAUCUUUCCUGUGCUGUUCUCGUGACAGUGAAUAAGCCUCAUGAGAUCUGAUGGUUUUAAAAACAGGAGUUUUCUUGCACAAGCUCUCUUCUCUUGUCUGCUGCCAUGUGAGAUGUGCCUUUCACCUUCUACCAGGAUUGUGAGGCCACCCCAGCAACGUGGAACUGUAAGUCCAUUAAACUUCUUUCUUUCGUUGCAAAUUUCCAAGUCUUGGGUAUGUCUUUAUCAGCAGCAUGAAAAUGGACUAAUUGGUACCAGUAGAGUGGGGUGCUGCUGAAAAGAUACCCAAAAAUGUGGAAGUGACUUUGGAACUGGGUAACAGGCAGAGGUUGGAACAGUUUGGAGGGCUCAGAAGACAGGAAAAUGUGAGAAAGUUUGGAAUUUCCUAGAGACUUGUUGAAUGGCUUUGCCAAAAAUGCUGAUAGCAAUAUGGACAGGCUGAAGUGGUCUCAGAUGGAAAUGAGGAACUUGUUAGGGAUGAGAGCAAAGGUGACUCUUGUUAUGUUUUAGCAAAGAGACUGGUGGCACUUUGCCCCUGCCCUAGAGAGUUGUGAAACUUUGAACUUGAGAGAGAUGAUUUAGGGUAUCUGGCAGAAGAAAUUUCUAAGCAGCAAAGCAUUUAAAAGGUGACCUGUGUGCUGUUGAAGGCAUUCAGUUUUAUAAGGGAAGCAGAGCAUAAAAGUUCAGAAAAUUUGUAGCCUGACAAUUCGAUAGAAAAGAAAACCCUAUUUUCUGAGGAGAAAUUCAAGCUGGCUGCAGAAAUUUGCAUAACUAACUAGGAGCCAAAUGUUAAUCCCCAACACAAUGAGGAAAAUGUCUCCAAUGUGUCAGAGGUCUUCAUGGCAGCCCCUCCCAUCACAGGCCUGGAGGCCUAGGAGGAAUAAGUGGUUUCGUGGGCAGGUCCCAAGGUACCUGUGCUGUGUCCAGCCUAGGCUGUGGCUCAGGCUGUGGCUUCAGAGGGUGCAAGCCUCAAGCCCUGGCAGCUUCCAUGUGGUGUUGAGCCUGCCAGUGCAAAGAAGUCAAGAAUUGGGCUUUGGGAACCUCCGCCUGGAUUCCGGAGGGUGUAUGGAAACACCUGGAUGUCCAGGCAGAAGUUUGCUGCAGGGGCAGGGAUCUCUUGGGGAACCUCUUCUAGGGCAGUGCAGGAGGGAAAUGUGUGGUUGGAGCUCCCACAGAGAGUUCCUACUGGGGCAACACCUAGUUGGGCUGUGAGAAGAAGGCCACCAUCCUCCAGACCCCAGAAUGAUAGAUCCAUCGACAGCUUGUACCAUGCACCUGGAAAAGCCACAGACACUCAAUGCCUGCCACGACAGCAGCCAGGAGAGGGAUUAUACCCUGCAAAGCCACAGAGGCAGAGCUGACUGAGACCAUGGGAACCUACUUCUUUCAUCAGCAUAACCUGGAUGUGAGACUUGGAGUCAAAGAAGAUCAUUUUGGAGCUUUAAGAUUUGACUGACCCACUGGAUUUUGGACAUGCAUGGGGCCUAUAGCCCCUUUGUUUUGACCAAUUUCUCUCAUUUGGAAUGACAGUAUUUACCCAAUGCCUAUACCCCCAUUGUAUCUAGGAAGUAACUAACUUGCUUUUGAUUUUACAGGCUCAUAGGUGGAAGGGACUUGCUUUAUCUUAGAUGAAACUUUGGACUGCGGACUUUUGAGUUAAUGCUGAAAUGAGUUAAGACUUUAGCGGACUGUUGGGAAGGCAUGAUUGGUUUUGAAAUGUGAAGACAUGAGAUUUGGGAGGGGCCGGGGCAGAAUGGUGUGGUUUGGCUGUGUCCCUACCAAAAUCUCAUCUUGAAUUGUAACUCCCAUAAUUCCUAUGUGUCAUGGGAGGAACCUGGUGGGAGGUAAUUGAGUUAUGAGGGCGGGCCUUUCUUGUGCUGUUCUAGUGAUAGUGAAUAAGUCUUGUGAGAUCUUAUGGUUUUAAAAAUGGGAGUUUCCCUGCACAAGCUCUCUUCUCUUGUCUGCCACCAUGUGAGUCAUGCCUUUCACCUUCCACCAUGAUUGUGAGGCCUCCCCAGCCACAUGGAAACGUAAGUCCAUUAAACCUCUUUUUUUUUUGUUACAAAUUGCCCAGUCUUGAGUAUGUCUUUAUAGCAGCAUGAAAAUGGACUAAUACAGCCUCUUAUACCUACAUAUUAUAAGGUAUUGCAAAAAUGAUAUUGACUAAACAGGAAUGAUUCCAUUUUCAAGUCAAAUGUAGAGAAAAUAUUUCCAACUGAGGACUUGCUGAGUUGGAAAAUAAAACAUUUUCUCAUUCCUACAUUCUUGAGUUAGAAAAAUGUUCUAAAAGUGAGAAAGGGCCCAGGAAAAAGGUAGAAUUCAAGACAUUGUCAAUAAAAUGUGGCCUUAGUGUAAAGAUCAAAUCAACAGUGUAGUUACAAGAUCCCUAAUUUAACUCAGUGCCUCAUCAACCUUCUCAGCUAGACAAAACAGCUUGUAAGAAUUUUAAGAAUAUUGUUCCACAAUGCUCUGACUCAAAGCCUGCAUUAGAGAGGGGCUUGUCUUGAAGAGAUUUGUAUGUGUGACUUUUUCACUUAUAAUAACAUUUAUUUUGGAUUUCAAAUUUAGAAUUUGAUACACAGGAAGCACAUUAAAUUUCUUAAGGUAUUAUAUCAGCUUGUACUAAAGGACAUGGAAGGUGAAAAAUGAAAAAAGGUCUUUUUUUUUCAUUUCAUUUUUCUCUGGGCCCUCAACUUGCUUUGUGAAAGGUAGACUGGGACAGCUACAUGAUGGCAAACAUGGAAAAUUUCCUAUGAACAAAGGAAAUAUGAUUCAGAAGGUAGAGCCCAGAGCCCUGCAAACAAAAGUAUAAGCUAUUAGAAGCAAUGGAUUAGGUAAUCACUUCCGUAUAGCAAAACUGGACCUGAAUCAAGAAACAUUCCUUGCCUCCAGAUUAGGGGACACUGAUAAGAUGAGCCUGGUUGUAUUUCAGAAUUUCUAUUGACUAGUGACUGCUUUGUGCCUUCAUUUCUCCCUUUUAUAAAUGAAUGUCUAAUGUGGUUAUUCUAGUCUGUCUUAACAUUAUAUUGUUGGGCAUGGAGGUACAGAUAACUUGCAUUUUUGCUUCACAGUUCAUAUCGAAAGGAGCUGCACUUAUGAAAUUUCAUGCACAUCUGUAUGAUCCCAAUGUAGAUCAAGAGAUACUGGGCAUAGGAUGUGAUAUUAUAAUUUGUUGAGACUUUGGGAGUCUUUGAAACAGUUGACUAUAGUUUGCAUAUGGAAGUAAUGUGAGUUUUUGUGGCCAGAGGGCAGACUGUGGGAGACUGUAUGUAACUACAGCCAGUAAGAAUUAUUCAUGCACUUGCCAGUUCUCUGACCGAGAGAGCACAUCUGUUUACUCAUACCUUGAAUCUGUACUGAACUUGUAAUUUUUUUUGACAAAUUUAAUGCAGCAGAAGUCAUAUUCUUGGAUUUUUGAGCCCAGACAUUCAAAUGUCAUAUAGCUUCUGUUUUCGCUCAGAGAGGAAACAAGCAGCUA
This is a long non-coding RNA of Pongo pygmaeus (Bornean orangutan), 5180 nucleotides long. RefSeq lists it as uncharacterized. The record is from RefSeq and is a predicted model, not a curated record. Lineage: Eukaryota; Metazoa; Chordata; Mammalia; Primates; Hominidae. The transcript is spliced from 2 exons.